CAAGAAUCGGGCCUCAGGAUGACAAUCUGAAAGAGCCUCACAUAGUCUUCCCAGAAGGUUCCACCUGCGAGAUUGAGAAUAAGAACGAGGUGGUGACUCUGAAGCCAGUCUCGGGGAACAUCUGCAUGGUCAAUGAAAGAGAGAUCAAGGAGCCCUGCAGACUUGCACAAGGUGCAGUGGUUACCUUAGCAGGACCCCAUAAGUUCAGGUUCAACCACCCUGCAGAGGCAGCUGUUCUGAGGGAGAGAAGACGGGUACAGACUUUGCUUUGCACUGCAUACUGUAUAUCCACUAAAAUGACCUUGAGAU
RNAcentral lists this long non-coding RNA (309 nucleotides) under Sinocyclocheilus grahami. Its description in RNAcentral is "lncRNA (ENSSGRG00000026284.1)". Lineage: Eukaryota; Metazoa; Chordata; Actinopteri; Cypriniformes; Cyprinidae. The record is from RNAcentral.